GAUGAACGCUGGCGGCGUGCCUAAUACAUGCAAGUCGAGCGAACAGACGAGGAGCUUGCUCCUCUGACGUUAGCGGCGGACGGGUGAGUAACACGUGGAUAACCUACCUAUAAGACUGGGAUAACUUCGGGAAACCGGAGCUAAUACCGGAUAAUAUAUUGAACCGCAUGGUUCAAUAGUGAAAGACGGUUUUGCUGUCACUUAUAGAUGGAUCCGCGCCGCAUUAGCUAGUUGGUAAGGUAACGGCUUACCAAGGCAACGAUGCGUAGCCGACCUGAGAGGGUGAUCGGCCACACUGGAACUGAGACACGGUCCAGACUCCUACGGGAGGCAGCAGUAGGGAAUCUUCCGCAAAGGGCGAAAGCCUGACGGAGCAACGCCGCGUGAGUGAUGAAGGUCUUCGGAUCGUAAAACUCUGUUAUUAGGGAAGAACAAAUGUGUAAGUAACUAUGCACGUCUUGACGGUACCUAAUCAGAAAGCCACGUCUAACUACGUG
RNAcentral lists this ribosomal RNA (497 nucleotides) under uncultured bacterium. RNAcentral describes it as "partial 16S ribosomal RNA". It matches the Rfam family "Bacterial small subunit ribosomal RNA", at positions 28 to 507 of the family's 1533-position model. The record is from RNAcentral.